Molossus molossus (Pallas's mastiff bat) is the source of this 728-nucleotide long non-coding RNA. RefSeq lists it as uncharacterized. The record is from RefSeq and is a predicted model, not a curated record. The transcript has 3 exons. Lineage: Eukaryota; Metazoa; Chordata; Mammalia; Chiroptera; Molossidae.
UUCUUGGAACUAGACAUUUACUUAGACAAACAAAAUGUGCCGCAGGGUCUCCUGGAUGUCCCUAAACAGUUGAGCCACCAACCCUCUCUCUACCUCUAUUUAAAGGGGUUCAUUUGCAUAGGGGCUUGGGUUUUAGUUGUGGUUAUUUUUUCUGAAUUUCUCUUGCUAUCUAUAGGAGGCAGGUGGAGGGAGGUGGCUGAGUGGGCACCUAAGGCAGAGGGGAAGAAAGAGAGGGCGGGGGCAGUGGGUGUAAGCCGGGGCUGCGAGAAAACGCUGAAGGCACAUUUCAGACAAUGGCACGUGUGGAGUCGAGCACAAGCAGAGCUGGUCAGGGUCUGCUGCACCCAGCUGCUUCCAGGGGAUGCUCUUGUUUCUGUACAGAACAGCGUCCCUCGCUGUGGUGGGGGCGUGCCCAGGACAGCAGCGGCCCUGUUGUACUCGUCUCACCAGUAGUCGCCAGGAGAAAACAGACCUUGAUGAGGAAAACAGAGCAGGACUGGAUCCUAAGCACAUGCCACACCCCGGUCACUACCACUAUCUUUUCCUUCUCCUGGUGGCUAGACCUGAAGGCCACUGUUGAGUUGACAUGGGGGCUGCCUGGACUCUGCGGCACUGUCUGAGAAGCCUCUCUAGACCCUCUUCCAGACUCUGCUCUGAGCCUCUCCUCAAUGGGCCUUCCACUCUGGGUCACUCUGGACUCCCUCCCUACCCAUCUUUAAGAAUAGGAG